UAGGGAAUAUUGCACAAUGGGGGAAACCCUGAUGCAGCGACGCCGCGUGAGUGAUGAAGGCCUUCGGGUCGUAAAGCUCUGUCGUAUGGGACUAACACAAUGAAGGUACCAUGCAAGAAAGGAUCGGCUAACUUCGUGCCAGCAGCCGCGGUAAGACGAGGGAUCCUAGCGUUGUUCGGAAUUAUUGGGCGUAAAGCGGGUGUAGGCGGAUUUAUAAGUCAGGUGUGAAAUCCCAGGGCUCAACCCUGGAAGUGCACUUGAUACUGUAGAUCUUGAGUGUGGUAGAGGUUACUGGAAUUCCUGGUGUAGUGGUAAAAUACGUAGAUAUCAGGAGGAAUACCGGAGGCGAAGGCGAGUAACUGGGCCAACGCUGACGCUGAGACCCGAAGGCGUGGGGAUCAAACAGGAUUAGAUACCCGUGUAGUCCCUGAGCGGGCUGGCAAGGCGCAU
RNAcentral lists this ribosomal RNA (450 nucleotides) under uncultured bacterium. RNAcentral describes it as "bacterial SSU rRNA". It matches the Rfam family "Bacterial small subunit ribosomal RNA", at positions 355 to 825 of the family's 1533-position model. The record is from RNAcentral.